This is a long non-coding RNA of Gossypium arboreum, 1758 nucleotides long. RefSeq lists it as uncharacterized. Lineage: Eukaryota; Viridiplantae; Streptophyta; Magnoliopsida; Malvales; Malvaceae. The transcript is spliced from 3 exons. The record is from RefSeq and is a predicted model, not a curated record.
UGGAUGAAAUAUGAAGUUUUAUUAAAAGAAAAGGGUGAAAAGAACAAAGUUUUGUCCAUCUUUGUUCAUCAUAGCUGAAAGUUAGAGAAGAGAAAGGAGAGGAGAAAGCUCUUGAGUAUUCGGUCAUUAAGAGGAGGAAAAUUGAAGGCGGUUCGUGUGUGGAUCUCGUCAGCAUAUCGUCACAAACAGGAAAUCCCCAACCAUAGUGGGCUUGGAGCUGUGAGAGAAUUUGGAGUGGCCACCCAUUCUGAAAGUUUGAUUUUCUUCUGGUGAACUGGACAUCCUUUUAAUUACGUUUGAGGUUUUGGGCUUUUAAAUGUAAUAAGGCCGCUUAUUUAUUUUUGAUGGUUUUAUAUGUUUUAUUAAGAUAGGUAAUAUUUAUAUUUGAUGUUGAAAUUGGAUAGCUUUAAGGCGUUUUCAAAAAACAAGAAUUGUUUUCAAAAUAACACAAAACAAGCAAAGCUUCCAUAAUGAAGAUAUUUUCCAAAGUUAAUCACUUUUCCUAAAAGGACUUAAUCAAAUCGGUUUCCUAGAAAUAUACAUGACGUUAAGGUAUGGCAAUGGUGGUUUGCAUGUCUAGGAUUGGAUCCGAAGGAGUUUGGUACUUAAGCAAUCCGAUGGACUCACCUCCUCUUUUCCGGUUUCCUACGGUGCAUGACUUCCAUUCACUUUAACCCUUAAUGAAUUAAUCUUUUGAACAUCAAGUACGAUUUUCUGGACUUAGAAUGAAUUUUUUUUUUAUGUUUUUGAUGUGGCAUGCCGGAUUCGGCCAUAACUUCUGGGCCGGGUUUGGGGUGCUACAUGGUACCAAUUUUUGGGCGUAGUGAGGGUGUUAACCCUUCCUCAUACGUAACCGACUCCCGAACCCAUUUUUGAAUUUACGUGGACCAAAAUUAAUUUAAAUGGAAUAAAAUGUUUUAUUAGGUGAUCCAAUCACACCUAAACAAAAAGAUUGGUGGCGACUCCACAUUUGGUUUUAAAAGUCGAUCCCUGUUUUUUUCCAAAAUAAAAAAAAAUGGUUUCGACAAAUGGCAUGGCAGAAUUGAGCAAUAGAGGACUUCUUGAUGGACAAGGAAUCUGCAAACUGAAGUUUUGCGAGCACUGUGUUUUUGGGAAGCAAAAGAGAUUUCGAUUCACCAGAGGAAUCCAUAACACGAAGGGAACAUUGGAGUAUAUUCAUUCUGAUCUGUAGGGGCCAUCCAGAGUGCCUUCAAGAGGUGGAGCUAAUUAUAUGCUAACUUUUAUUGAUGAUUUUUCCAGAAAAGUUUGGGCAUUCUUCCUAAAGCAGAAAAGCGAUGUGCUUUCCGCAUUUAUGUCUUGGAAAAUUAUGAUUGAAAAAUAGACGAGAAAACAAAAAAAAAAAUACCUUUGCAAAGAGACAAUGGCUUGGAGUUCUGUUCUGAUGAGUUUAAUAGACUGUGCAAGUCAAAAAGGAUCGUGAGACACUUGACAGUUCACCAUACUCCACAGGAAAAUGGCAUUGCAGAACAAAUGAACAGAACGGUCAUGGAGAAAGUUCGAUGUAUGUUGUCAAAUGCCAACUUAUCAAAGUCAUUUUGGGCAGAAGUAGCCUCUACUACAUUUUUUUGAUCAAUCGAUCUCCAUCUGUGUCCUGCUUAUGCUCAUAUUGAUAAUGGAAAAUUGGAACCGAGAUCCAUUAAAUAUGUUUUUCUUGGUUAUAAAGCUGAUGUAAAAGGGUAUAAGUUAUGGUGUCCUGAAAAUAGAAAAGUUAUGAUUAGUAGAGAUUUUUUUAUGAAA